Molecule: long non-coding RNA, 766 nt
Filed under: Lonchura striata (white-rumped munia)
Lineage: Eukaryota; Metazoa; Chordata; Aves; Passeriformes; Estrildidae
Description: domestica (Bengalese finch) lncRNA (ENSLSDG00000012461.1)
Source: RNAcentral
AUGUCCCCAGUGUCCCAUUCCAGUGUCCCCAAUGUCCCAUUCCAGUGUCCCCAAUGUCCCCACUCUGUGUCCCCUGGCUGUCACAAGGUGCAGAUCCCGUCCUGGUGUCCCCAGUGUCCCAUUCCAGUGUCCCCUGGCUGUCACAGGGUGAAGAUCUCGUCCUGGUGUCCCCAAUGUCCCAUUCCAGUGUCCCCAAUGUCCCCUGGCUGUCACAGGGUGAAGAUCUCAUCCUGCUGUCCCAUUCCAGUGUCCCCAAUGUCCCCUGGCUGUCACAGGGUGAAGAUCUCAUCCUGGUGUCCCAUUCCAGUGUCCCCAAUGUCCCAUUCCAGUGUCCCCUGGCUGUCCCUGCUGUCACAGGGUGAAGAUCUUGUCCUGGUGUCCCAUUCCAGUGUCCCCAGUGUCCCAUUCCAGUGUCCCCAAUGUCCCAUUCCAGUGUCCCCAAUGUCCCAUUCCAGUGUCCCCUGGCUGUCACAGGGUGAAGAUCUCGUCCUGCUGUCCCAUUCCAGUGUCCCCAGUGUCCCCUGGCUGUCACAGGGUGAAGAUCUCGUCCUGGUGUCCCCAAUGUCCCAUUUCAGUGUCCCCAGUGUCCCCUGGCUGUCACAGGGUGAAGAUCUCAUCCUGCUGUCCCAUUCCAGUGUCCCCAAUGUCCCCUGGCUGUCACAGGGUGAAGAUCUCGUCCUCGGCGUCGCGCAGCGCGGCCGCCCGCGGGCUCCGGCUCAGGGGCCGGGGUCCCAGGCGGGCGCCCCGGGGGGACGCGGGGCCGGGG